Long non-coding RNA from Manihot esculenta (cassava), 2864 nucleotides. RefSeq lists it as uncharacterized. The record is from RefSeq and is a predicted model, not a curated record. The transcript is spliced from 3 exons. Lineage: Eukaryota; Viridiplantae; Streptophyta; Magnoliopsida; Malpighiales; Euphorbiaceae.
UCUGUCUAUUUGUGUUAGGGUUUUGCCCCCUCUGUCGCGUUGUUUUUCACCUUUUUUCGUCUCGUUAGAUCCAACCAUGGAUUUUAUUAUUUUGGUCCUCGAGGAGGGUUGUCUAUUUUCGCCGAGUAUAAAGACUCGAUAAAGGGCUGGGCUGAGGCCUUUAUAAUAGUCAAGCUGAAAGAGAGCUCAGGAAUCAACUGUGAUAUUGAUCUCUCUUGGGGGGAAGUCCCUCAAGGCUCAGGGCUAUAACAACUUUCCUAGGCUGACCCUGUUGGACCAAGUCUACCUUCUCCGACUGACUUCUAUAUGGAAGAAGUAUGACGUCAAGAAGUGUAUAUUCAUGUCCAACCUCCGGGACUACCGGAAAACUGCUUCUGCCAUUCCCAUGGACAACAUUAAGCUCCCGAAGAACUUUUCCAUGUACUGGGAGAGCAUGAAGGCCACACUAGAUGCCUUCAAGGCUGGAAAAACUGUGGCGGACAUGACCAGAGAGGUCUUUCAGGCUGUGGCCCCUGCUACAGCAAAUCGGACUACUACCCUUGCUCCAACUUUGGCGUUGGUACCUGCUGCAGGGGGUUCUCGAUCUGCAACUUCGAGGGCCUCCAUCCCUACUAAGGCGUCGGCUCUAGCCAAAUCUUCGGCAGCUCCUAAGUCGGCCUCCAAGGAGCCUAUUGUUAUCAGCGAGUCUGUUGAGAGCAGUUCAAAGGAGGGUACUGGGGUUGCCUUUUGGAUGUCCCACCUCUCCAAGUUGUGGGGGCCAUUGUGAUUGGAAAGGCAGCUAGCAAGCGGGCCCGGACCUUAGAGCCUGCAGCUGAAGGUAGGGCUGCCAAGCGAGCUUGUGCUACAGAGCCUAUGAAGACAGCUCCUCCCCCCUCCACUUACAAAGAGAAGAAGGUAGUGGAGCAGUUGUACUCAGCUCCUGAAACUGAGCUCUUGAAUGCUGCUGAAGUGACUCCUAAAUCUAUGUCGGCCUUAGCAGCUUGGCUCUCAUCAGCCACCUUGCCUGCUCCACCAAGCAACAGGCGGCGUUCAAUACUCGUUCUUUGGAUGACCUCGGGGAUAGCUUGAGGGAUAUGUUCCUCAUGGCCUUCGAGGUAUUCCUUGAGAUUGAUGCUCGUAACCAGUCUUUUCAGAGCUCGGUAGAGCAGUGUAUUGCUAAGGAGCACUGGGAUGAAAACAUUAUUUCUACUGGUGAGGCAUGCAGAUAAAUCAUUGAGUUCAAAGGGGUUAUUGAGGACCUCACCAAGCAAAUGGGGGAGAUGAGGGAAGAGGUUGCCCAGCCUCCCAACGAGUUUCUACGGCUGAUUCUCAACGAGGUGAGGCCUUGUCACAACUAUCCUCUUUGGAGGAUUCUUGCCAUCAGUGUGAUGAGGCCAUGGCCUAGCGUGAUGAGGCCUUAGCUCGCACUGAUGUCCUCUAGCAGGAGCUCAACAAGCACAUCGAGGACCUAAAAGGUAUGGCUUCGGCAGCGGAGGAAUCUCAUCUCCAGCAAGAGCUCAACGGGCACAUCAAGGACCUGAAAGGCAUGGCUUCGGUGGCGGAGGAAUCUCGUCUUCAACAAGAACAACUCCGUCCAGAGGUCAUCGCUUUGGAGGAGAGAUGUUCUACCUUACUAAAGGAUGCCAGGGUUAUAGAGGAUAAGGUCCAGCAGGCUUGUGAGGAGCAUUUGCGAGAGCACAAGGACUCUGCGGAGCUGAAAAGCAAGAUCCAGCAGGCCUUUGAAGCAUGAUUGGAAGAGUAUAAGGCCUCUAUGGAGAUGAAAGAGACAGUGUACAAAGAGACCUUUUGCAUGUUCGCUUCGAGCUAUAAUCAGGGCCUUAAGUCCGCUAGGGAUGCCCCUUCCACUCCAUUGGCAGACUUAUGAGCCCCUAAAGUGGACUUUGAUGGUGAGGAGGUGCACUACGGAGAGGAUGACAACCCUUUUCCCAAGAAUACUCCUCGCUUACCUUCUGGACCUCAAGGGAAGGACACUGUAAAUAAACCCUUAAAUGACUUAGUUUGUUCUGGUUCUUCCUCUCCUGCUACCUCUGUGACUCAUUCCAAUAAUUAAUAAAGAUUUAUAUUUCAUUAUUUCCCCCCUGUCUAUUUUUGUUUUUUGAGCUUAUUGAAUUUAUUUGUAUGUCUGUACUUGAGUUGUUAACUUGUGAAUGUUGCCGAGUUGCCAGCUCGUUAACUUUGAUUUGUUUGUAUUUGUAUACUUAGACUAUUUUCGUAUAUACAACUUGUGGACUUCCUGAGCUGGCAACCCGUGAGCUCUACCAGGCUGUUAGCUUGUUUAAAUUAAUUUGUUUAUGUUUAUACACUUAGGCUGUUUUUAUGUAUAUAGCCUGUGAGCUCUACUGGGCCAUCAGCUCAUUUAACUUAAUUUAUUUAUGUAUAUAUAUACUCAGGCUGUUUUUAUGUAUACAGCCUGUGAGCUCUGCCGGACUGUCAACUCGUUAAUCUUGCCUUAUGCAUAUUGCAUUUUUCCUAUUUUGUUAUUUCUCCUUUUUACUGAAUGCCUUGGUACUUUUUGCUUUCUGUUUCCUUGAAACCUUUAUUUUGGGCUAAAGUUUGGUUUUCGCUUGUACUACUCUUUAGCUAGCUGAGUUUUUUAAUUUUUUCCUUCGUGUACUUGUUUAUGGAGUUUAACAAUAAAGCUUAUUUUUAUCUUAAUUUUGCUUUGGUUUUAUUUGCCUAAGGACCUUAAGGGCACCGGGCUCCUUUUUGAGGUCGGUCUGGCAUUUUGGCUCAGUGAGCCUUAAAUUAGCUUUUCCAUAUGCAACAUUGUUUCAUGAAGUGGGCAUUAGAAUGCCUUAAGUUAAUUUUUUUAUACGCCGGGUAUUUUUAUGAUAUCGGAAUCUCAUUUUCCAAUGAUUCAAGCC